This 947-nucleotide ribosomal RNA is filed under the name Corynebacterium striatum. RNAcentral's name for it is "bacterial SSU rRNA". It matches the Rfam family "Bacterial small subunit ribosomal RNA", at positions 1 to 958 of the family's 1533-position model. The record is from RNAcentral. Lineage: Bacteria; Bacillati; Actinomycetota; Actinomycetes; Mycobacteriales; Corynebacteriaceae.
UUUGUGGAGAGUUUGAUCCUGGCUCAGGACGAACGCUGGCGGCGUGCUUAACACAUGCAAGUCGAACGGAAAGGCCUGCAGCUUGCUGCGGGUACUCGAGUGGCGAACGGGUGAGUAACACGUGGGUGAUCUGCCUUGCACUUCGGGAUAAGCUUGGGAAACUGGGUCUAAUACCGGAUAGGACAGCUGUUUAGUGUCAGUUGUGGAAAGUUUUUUCGGUGCAAGAUGAGCUCGCGGCCUAUCAGCUUGUUGGUGGGGUAAUGGCCUACCAAGGCGUCGACGGGUAGCCGGCCUGAGAGGGUGUACGGCCACAUUGGGACUGAGAUACGGCCCAGACUCCUACGGGAGGCAGCAGUGGGGAAUAUUGCACAAUGGGCGGAAGCCUGAUGCAGCGACGCCGCGUGGGGGAUGAAGGCCUUCGGGUUGUAAACUCCUUUCGACAGGGACGAAGCUUUUGUGACGGUACCUGUAUAAGAAGCACCGGCUAACUACGUGCCAGCAGCCGCGGUAAUACGUAGGGUGCGAGCGUUGUCCGGAAUUACUGGGCGUAAAGAGCUCGUAGGUGGUUUGUCGCGUCGUCUGUGAAAUUCCGGGGCUUAACUCCGGGCGUGCAGGCGAUACGGGCUGACUUGAGUGCUGUAGGGGAGACUGGAAUUCCUGGUGUAGCGGUGAAAUGCGCAGAUAUCAGGAGGAACACCGAUGGCGAAGGCAGGUCUCUGGGCAGUAACUGACGCUGAGGAGCGAAAGCAUGGGUAGCGAACAGGAUUAGAUACCCUGGUAGUCCAUGCCGUAAACGGUGGGCGCUAGGUGUAGGGGGCUUCCACGUCUUCUGUGCCGUAGCUAACGCAUUAAGCGCCCCGCCUGGGGAGUACGGCCGCAAGGCUAAAACUCAAAGGAAUUGACGGGGGCCCGCACAAGCGGCGGAGCAUGUGGAUUAAUUCGAUGCA